UACGGAGGGGGCUAGCGUUGUUCGGAAUUACUGGGCGUAAAGCGCACGUAGGCGGCUUUGUAAGUUAGAGGUGAAAGCCUGGAGCUCAACUCCAGAAUAGCCUUUAAGACUGCAUCGCUUGAACACGGGAGAGGUGAGUGGAAUUCCGAGUGUAGAGGUGAAAUUCGUAGAUAUUCGGAAGAACACCAGUGGCGAAGGCGGCUCACUGGACCGUUGUUGACGCUGAGGUGCGAAAGCGUGGGGAGCAAACAGG
Molecule: ribosomal RNA, 253 nt
Filed under: uncultured bacterium
Lineage: Bacteria
Description: partial 16S ribosomal RNA
Rfam family: Bacterial small subunit ribosomal RNA
Source: RNAcentral